This 75-nucleotide transfer RNA is filed under the name Burkholderia pseudomallei NCTC 13178. RNAcentral's name for it is "tRNA-SeC (TCA) (tRNA-SeC-TCA-2-1)". The record is from RNAcentral. Lineage: Bacteria; Pseudomonadati; Pseudomonadota; Betaproteobacteria; Burkholderiales; Burkholderiaceae.
GCAUGAUCGGUCUUCAAACCCAGUUGGUGCGGUCAGCCCGCGCCAGGUCGGUUCGACUCCGGCUGCCUUCCGCCA